Trifolium pratense (red clover) is the source of this 827-nucleotide long non-coding RNA. RefSeq lists it as uncharacterized. The transcript is spliced from 4 exons. Lineage: Eukaryota; Viridiplantae; Streptophyta; Magnoliopsida; Fabales; Fabaceae. The record is from RefSeq and is a predicted model, not a curated record.
CAAAUUUUUUGGAACCAAACAAGUGACUUAACACUCACACGAUUGAGACACUCUCGCCAACUUCAAACCCUCAAGAACAACAGGGAAGGUCACACGAUUUUACCAAACCCUCAAGAACAACAAACCCUCAAUUCCUCUCUCGAUUCGAAACUCACUCAAUCACGACAAUCCCUCACUCUCACUCGUCCUCUCUCACUCGUUCUCUCAAUUUCGUCAUCUCUCUCGCGAACCCUAGGUCCCAAAUCGAAGUUCAGUGAAACAAAUUGAAGCUCGUCUCAGAUCGAGAGAGUUUGUAUGAAGACGAGGAGUCUGAUCCGCACCAAAGGCAACUUGCCGCACUACUUUUAUCAAAGGUCUUCUGUUACUUGGGUGAGCUGAAUGACUCACUAUCCUAUGCCCUUGGAGCUGGUCCUCUGUUCGAUGUUUCAGAGGAUUCCGACUUUGUCUAUACUCUUCUAGCUAUAGAUAAAUAUGCUAGUUUCAAGUCUAAGGCGGCAGCAGAGUCAAAUGAUGAAUCUACCAAAGUGGACCCUAGACCGGAAGCAAUCGUGGAGAGGCUGUUCGAUAAGUGUAUAGUGGAUGGAAAAUACCAACAAGCUAUGGGAACUGCUAUUGAAUGCAGGAGAUUGCGCCUUGUUUACUAUACGAAUGGCAGCAGGAACCGUGUUAUUGUUUCCGGCGGUGAUUUGUUUGUCGUGCGCUGCUGGGUUUUUUCUGGAGUUGUUUGUUGUUUUCCUGCUGCUUUUAGUUUUCUGGUGUGUUUAUAGUGUUUGCGCUGCUUUCUGUUUUUGCUGUAAGGGGUUUUGGUUUUAGGUGGCUUCUCCUUG